This 261-nucleotide long non-coding RNA is filed under the name Lathyrus oleraceus (garden pea). RNAcentral's name for it is "Pisum sativum (pea) long non-coding RNA (PSAT_LNC014345)". Lineage: Eukaryota; Viridiplantae; Streptophyta; Magnoliopsida; Fabales; Fabaceae. The record is from RNAcentral.
ACUUAGAAACUUUUCGUUAGGGUGCCAUUUUUGGUUUCAUCCUUUGUUAUCAUCAAAAUCAAGGAAUCUGUUGUAUCACAAUUUUUGUUCUUACAUGAACUUCUUCUUUAAUCUUCACUGCCAUAUCGGGAUGAGUUCUUCUCAGCUUCUGCUUCACAGGCACACACUCAGGCUUCAAAGGCAAGAAGUGUUGCACGAUAUCAGUAUCCAGACCAGGCAUGUCUUCAUAUGACCAGGCAAAGACGUCGACAUAUUCUCGUA